RNAcentral lists this ribosomal RNA (253 nucleotides) under uncultured bacterium. RNAcentral's name for it is "partial 16S ribosomal RNA". It matches the Rfam family "Bacterial small subunit ribosomal RNA", at positions 524 to 776 of the family's 1533-position model. The record is from RNAcentral.
GACGAACCGAGCGAACGUUGUUCGGAAUCACUGGGCUUAAAGGGCGCGUAGGCGGGGUUGCAAGUCCGGGGUGAAAUCCCACAGCUCAACUGUGGAACUGCCUCGGAUACUGUGAGUCUCGAGGGUGGCAGGGGUAUGCGGAACUGUCGGUGGAGCGGUGAAAUGCGUUGAUAUCGAUAGGAACUCCGGUGGCGAAGGCGGCAUACUGGUCCACUUCUGACGCUGAGGCGCGAAAGCCAGGGGAGCAAACGGG